ACGGAAGGCAGCAGUGGGGAAUAUUGGGCAAUGGGCGAAAGCCUGACCCAGCGACGCCGCGUGAAGGAAGAAGGCUUUCGGGUUGUAAACUUCUUUUACCAGGGACGAAGAAAGUGACGGUACCUGGAGAAAAAGCUACGGCUAACUACGUGCCAGCAGCCGCGGUAAUACGUAGGUAGCAAGCGUUGUCCGGAUUUACUGGGUGUAAAGGGCGUGUAGGCGGAGAUGCAAGUCAGGAGUGAAAUCUAUGGGCUUAACCCAUAAACUACUUUUGAAACUGCAUCCCUUGAGUAUCGGAGAGGCAGGCGGAAUUCCUAGUGUAGCGGUGAAAUGCGUAGAUAUUAGGAGGAACACCAGUGGCGAAGGCGGCCUGCUGGACGACAACUGACGCUGAGGCGCGAAAGCGUGGGUAGCAAACAGGAUUAGAUACCCUGGUA
This 437-nucleotide ribosomal RNA is filed under the name uncultured Oscillospiraceae bacterium. Its description in RNAcentral is "bacterial SSU rRNA". It matches the Rfam family "Bacterial small subunit ribosomal RNA", at positions 341 to 792 of the family's 1533-position model. The record is from RNAcentral. Lineage: Bacteria; Bacillati; Bacillota; Clostridia; Eubacteriales; Oscillospiraceae.